This 253-nucleotide ribosomal RNA is filed under the name uncultured bacterium. RNAcentral describes it as "partial 16S ribosomal RNA". It matches the Rfam family "Bacterial small subunit ribosomal RNA", at positions 524 to 776 of the family's 1533-position model. The record is from RNAcentral.
GACGUAGGGUGCGAGCGUUGUCCGGAAUUAUUGGGCGUAAAGAGCUCGUAGGCGGUUUGUCGCGUCUGCUGUGAAAACUCGGGGCUUAACCCCGGGCCUGCAGUGGGUACGGGCAGACUAGAGUGCGGUAGGGGAGACUGGAAUUCCUGGUGUAGCGGUGAAAUGCGCAGAUAUCAGGAGGAACACCGGUGGCGAAGGCGGGUCUCUGGGCCGUAACUGACGCUGAGGAGCGAAAGCAUGGGGAGCGAACAGG